This 382-nucleotide ribosomal RNA is filed under the name uncultured eukaryote. Its description in RNAcentral is "partial 18S ribosomal RNA". It matches the Rfam family "Eukaryotic small subunit ribosomal RNA", at positions 592 to 975 of the family's 1831-position model. The record is from RNAcentral.
CAAUAGCGUAUAUUAAAGUUGUUGCAGUUAAAAAGCUCGUAGUUGGAUUUCUGGUGGGAGCGAUCGGUCUGGCGCUUAGCGCGAGUACUUGCAUCGUCUCCGGCCAUCCUUGGGGAGAGUCUGUCUGGCAUUAGGUUGUCGGGCAGAGGAUCCUCAUCGUUUACUGUGAAAAAAUUAGAGUGUUCAAAGCAGGCUUAUGCCGUUGAAUAUAUCAGCAUGGAAUAAUAAGAUAGGACUUUGGUACUAUUUUGUUGGUUUGCGCACCAAAGUAAUGAUUAAUAGGGACAGUUGGGGGUAUUCGUAUCCCGUUGUCAGAGGUGAAAUUCUUGGAUUUACGGAAGACGAACUACUGCGAAAGCAUUUACCAAGGAUGUUUUCAUUA